RNAcentral lists this ribosomal RNA (145 nucleotides) under Bacillus sp. I2MY04A. RNAcentral's name for it is "partial 23S ribosomal RNA". It matches the Rfam family "Bacterial large subunit ribosomal RNA", at positions 1 to 131 of the family's 2925-position model. The record is from RNAcentral. Lineage: Bacteria; Bacillati; Bacillota; Bacilli; Caryophanales; Bacillaceae.
CUUCGGGUUGUGAGGUUAAGCGACUAAGCGUACACGGUGGAUGCCUAGGCAGUCAGAGGCGAUGAAGGGCGUGCUAAUCUACGAAAAGCGUCGGUAAGGUGAUAUGAACCGUUAUACCCGACGAUACCCGAAUGGGGAAACCCGG